AACGAACGCUGGCGGCAUGCCUAACACAUGCAAGUCGAACGAGACCUUCGGGUCUAGUGGCGCACGGGUGCGUAACGCGUGGGAAUCUGCCCUUUGCUUCGGAAUAACAGUUAGAAAUGACUGCUAAUACCGGAUGAUGUCUUCGGACCAAAGAUUUAUCGGCAAAGGAUGAGCCCGCGUAGGAUUAGGUAGUUGGUGGGGUAAAGGCCUACCAAGCCGACGAUCCUUAGCUGGUCUGAGAGGAUGAUCAGCCACACUGGGACUGAGACACGGCCCAGACUCCUACGGGAGGCAGCAGUGGGGAAUAUUGGACAAUGGGCGCAAGCCUGAUCCAGCAAUGCCGCGUGAGUGAUGAAGGCCUUCGGGUCGUAAAGCUCUUUUACCAGGGAUGAUAAUGACAGUACCUGGAGAAUAAGCUCCGGCUAACUCCGUGCCAGCAGCCGCGGUAAU
Molecule: ribosomal RNA, 450 nt
Filed under: uncultured bacterium
Lineage: Bacteria
Description: bacterial SSU rRNA
Rfam family: Bacterial small subunit ribosomal RNA
Source: RNAcentral